UGGUCCAAGACGGUGCGUUUC
Molecule: non-coding RNA, 21 nt
Filed under: Arabidopsis thaliana (thale cress)
Lineage: Eukaryota; Viridiplantae; Streptophyta; Magnoliopsida; Brassicales; Brassicaceae
Source: RNAcentral